ACAGCAGUCGCCGCGGUAAUACGUAGGUGGCAAGCGUUGUCCGGAAUUAUUGGGCGUAAAGUGUCUGUAGGUGGCUUUUCAAGUCCGCCGUCAAAUCCCCGGGCUCAACCCUCGACAGGCAGUGGAAACUACCAAGCUGGAGUACAAUAGGGGCAGAGGGAAUUUCUGGUGGAGCGGUGAAAUGCGUUGAGAUCGGAAAGAACACCAACGGUGAAAGCACUCUGCUGGGCCGACACUGACACUGAGAGAUGAAAGCUAGGGGAGAAAAUGGGAUUAGAUACCCCCGUAGUCCCUGUCUCUUAUAC
This 305-nucleotide ribosomal RNA is filed under the name uncultured bacterium. RNAcentral describes it as "partial 16S ribosomal RNA". It matches the Rfam family "Bacterial small subunit ribosomal RNA", at positions 508 to 807 of the family's 1533-position model. The record is from RNAcentral.